Molecule: long non-coding RNA, 8290 nt
Filed under: Salvia miltiorrhiza (redroot sage)
Lineage: Eukaryota; Viridiplantae; Streptophyta; Magnoliopsida; Lamiales; Lamiaceae
Description: long non-coding RNA (SMIL_LNC007097)
Source: RNAcentral
AUUUGGUAUAGAAUUAAUACCUUGAAGUAUAAUUGUUGGUUGACUGUUGUUGCUGAGUUGAAUGAAUUGGAACUGAAAAUUGGUAUUGUUGUUUCAGUAAUUGCAGGUUAAAUCAUGGAAGAAGAUGGAGAAGUUUAAGCCAAAGCUUACCUCCUUUGAAGUUGGCAGUAGUAAAUGAAGUCUUUCUUCGAUAAUUGCAGGAUGGUGGAGAUGAUGAUUAAUAGAGGAUUGGCAAAGUAUAGUGGUGGGCAAAAUAUAGUGGUGGGCAAAGUAGUGGGGAGCAAAGUAGUGGAAGAUAAAAAAAAUAAUAAUAAUGUAGUGUAGGAUUAAUGAUGUAUUUUCUAUAUCUCGGUGAUUCUGUAACUGUAAUAAAAUACGGGCUUCGAUUCUGCUUGAUACUGUAUUUACAUAAAUCUCGAUUUCGACAUGUGAUAUCUCUCUAAAAUCGAUAAGUUAUAAAAUGAAUCUAAAUUAAAUCCGUAGAUUUAAUUCGUUUGUUUUUCUAAUAUUUAAAUUAAAUCCGCAGAUUUAAUUAACUCACGAGUCAGAAAUAAUCCACGACUUGAGUAAAAUAAAAUCUAAUUCCAUCUCGCUUAAAAAUAAUAACGUGACUUUGCUAAGUCAGUUAUAACUCUGAAAUAAUAUCAUUGACUACUUUAAUAAUAUGAAUUCAGGAUCAUAAGCUGAAUUCAUAUCAGGAUAAUAACCGUUUUCAUUCACUGAUGAACAAAAAUAAACACUCAUUACUGGAUUUAAAAUAUAUAAAAGAGCGGGUCACUACAUGGACUCAGCGGACUGAUACUAAAGUCAAGUAUCAGUUAAACAUUCUUCCUCGGACUGAACUUCCAACGUUCAAAGGAAGCCACGUACUCACAAAAGUACAGCCGCAUUAAAUGCAGAGAUCUCAGGAUCUCCUUAUCUCUGCAGAGGUCAUUCCUAUUUGGUGGCUACUUUAUCAGAGACGUCACAUCUCCUGCCCCUCAAGAGAGUCGUUUCCACCAAACAAGGAACCUCGAAGAUUGAAGCCUCAGCCCAAAUUCGAAUUGCUCUCCAACGGAAGAAAUCUUGAGGACGUUUUACGCCAACGAAUCUAUUCAAGAUUUCUCCUACAAAUAGCGCUCGAGGAUCACUUCAAUCUUCACCGAUUCAACGACAUAAGCUGAAGCUCUGCCAAAAUCGCUACUCAGCCUAAAGCUUAACCUCCCCAAAGCUUGAAUCGAAGAAGAGAAUUCCAAAGCCAAAAUCAGUCACUGCUGAUUACAUACAUUCUCUUAGACCUUAGGCAAACCUCUGUUUACCCAGAAGCCAAGGUCAAACUUGCUCCAAAGAACUUGUUCUUUGCAGUAUAGUUGGCACCCGUUCAAACCUCCUUUCAGGAAGAAAGAUUAGAGUGUUUGAGUGAUUCGGAGUUCAGGAAGGUACUCUGACUCUGAGAGUCUUAGCGCGGGUUGUGCUAAGCAAGAGAAAUCCGACACAAGUGAAGUGUGGGUACUGAAGAAGUGGUUUCUUCAGUGGUACGGUUGUGUGCACCCGGCAAGCACACGGUUUGGUUUGCAGUGCACCUGUUAAGCACUUGCGGAGUGGAUUGUUGGUCUGAUCAACCGACCGUGGAUGUAGGAAAGGGUUUUUCCGAACCACGUAAAAGUCUCUGUGUUGUUUACAGCUUUCUGUUUUACUUUCCUACUUGUGUUGUUUCAAUUGAUAAACUGAAUACUGAAUAACUGCAAAGAGAAACCUAAGACCAACAACGUGCUCAACCGAGGCUAUUGCGAAACUAAGUUUAAUUUCCGCUGCGUAUGAUAUCAGUCUGACUGAUCUAUCUUCUGAUAGUCAAGAAGAAUGUUAUCAUCUCUGUUUUAGCAAACUCGACUGAAGCCCUUACGUGCAUUAGUUAAGUUCCAGUAACUUAACUGAUAGCUCCUUACUGAAGAGCUUUCAGUAUCAGUCGUCAACCCUGUUUGGUCAAAACUGUUUUCAGUUAACAGGCGUCACUGUUUGCGUGUAAAGUUUCGUUUUGAUCUCUAUCUUGAGAUCCCUCAGUUUGAGGAAGAAGAAAAAUAGCCCAUAGGUGUAUUCCCCCCCCUCCAUACACCUAUUCGAGACCCUCCGAACCUAACAAUUGGUAUCAGAGCAGGUUGUUCGCAAGAACACUCUGUAUCUGAUUAGGUUCUAAUUGAACUAGAUCCUUUUUCUCAAAGGUCUCGAAAAAGUUUUCUCUUUCAAAUUGUGCUUGCUAUUUGUUCUAUCUGUUGUCAUCUAUUCUCUCUUUUUGAUGGAGACUAACCACAACAGAUUAUCUUCUCUACCUAUGUUUAGUAUUGAAAAAUACAGCAUAUGGAAGUUUCGGCUUGAAAGCUUCCUCACCGCCCAACAUUGCCGAAUGUGGAAAGUCAUCACCAACGGACCAAUCACCAUCACCGAAACUGUCAAAAGGGUUCCUGUUGAUCCACGACAGGAUCCUUACGAUGAGGUCCAGUCUAAGCAAAAGGCAGACUUCUCCACCGAAGAAAGAAAGCAAGAUGAGCUUGACAACCUCGCCAAAAGCAUCAUCUCUGGCACCGUUCCCGACAAGCAUGUCAUGAAGAUCAUCAAGUGCGGAACUGCAAAGGAGAUGUGGGACAUUCUUGAAAGAAUGUGCGUAGGUUCCGAGGAAAUCAAGGAGAAUAAGCUAUCCAUAGCUUGCCAGAAGUUCGACUCCUUCCUCAUGCUCAAGAAUAAAUCUGUCGAAGAAAUAGAACUCAGAUUCAAUCAAAUCCUGAAUGAAGUUCAAUCCAUUUCUAAAGACAAAUACACUCAACGAGAAAUCAACCUGAAGAUUCUUCGAGCACUGCCACGAGGAGAAUGGCAGAUCUACUCAGUCGCUCAUCAACAUAAGCCUGGAUUCAGUCAGCUCCCGACAAACAAGCUUUUCUCUGAUCUCAUGGCAAAUGAGUUCGAUCUUCAGAGAAAUCUUGGAAUUAAGAAGGCUGGAGGAUCAGACGAAGAUGGUCCAUCAACCUCAAGAGGAGCAACACUGAAAGCUUCAGCAAGAGAAGGCAAGAAGCAAAUCAAGGAACCAGCGGAACUCAACCCUGAGGACUUCUUCAGUCAAUAUGCUUUGUUAACUGAAAGAUUCAACAAGAUGGAGUCCAAAUUCUGGAAGUACAGAAGGUUCCACAAGCAGCACUACAAAGGAAAAGAAAGAGAAAGCAACUCCAGACAUUCCACUGAUCGAAGCGGAGAAAGGAAGUCAGCCGCUUACGACAUCAAAGACAUGGAAUGCUUUGGAUGCAGAAAGAAAUGACACUUUCGAUAUGAAUGCCCUGAUCUGACUCCAGCUGAGCGCAGAGAACUGAAAGAUAAGAAAGAUCGUGAUAAGAAAAUGAACAAGCAGAAUCAGAAAAUGAACAAGGAGAUCAAUGAUGAACGAGCUAAGAAUCAGACAAUCAUCUACUUUCCGGAUGAAACUUGUCUUGAUCAGCUAAUCAUGGAGAACAACCGACUGGAAGAAGAGCUCAGAAUCUCCAACUCAGAAUGUGAAAGAGCAUCUCAUGAAAUCAAAANAUUUUCUAAUGCUUUCAGGAGACCUCUCAGAAUCAGAAGAAAGCUCAUCCGAUGAAUUUGACCAGCUUUAUCAGCUCAUGACUGAUCACUGUCAGUUGAGGAAAAUGUUCGCAGAUCUCCUCAAGCAGAAUCAGAAAUUAAAAGGAGAUCAAUGAUGAACGAGCUAAGAAUCAGACAAUCAGCUACUUUCCGGAUGAAACUUGUCUUGAUCAGCUAAUCAUGGAGAACAGUCGACUGGAAGAAAAGCUCAGAAUACUCCAACUUGGAAUGUGAUAGAGCAUACUCAUGAGAUCAAGAGGCUCAAUCACAAGCUGGAAGAACAGUCAAGAACUGCAUGAUGAAGUCACCAUUGAUGAGCAACUUUCCAUCAAAAGGCCUUGUUAAAAGCAUUGGAGGAAAAGUUGCAGCUGACAAAGGAAAGAAUAUCAUUAUCAUUUCAAAGGACGAUACUUCUGAAAUCACAACAUCAGAAGAAUCAAGAGAUCAUGAUAUGGAUGAAGUUCGCAAACGGAAACUGAUGGCAAGAUCAAAUGUUCCACCUCCAUCGAGCUACAGACGAGCAAAGGAGGCCCCUAACCAGAUCACCCUACUGAGAAGACUGGAAAGCAGAUUUCAGUCAAAGAUCAGGGAAGGAACAUCAGAAAUCAAGAAGAAUCUUCCUCACCAGACCAGGGGGAAGAACGGCCACAUCAGUCAGAAACUGAAAUCAAAGUGAUACAGAGUACUCGAGUUAGUAUAUAACUUUCACCCAUAGUAAGUCAAAGUGAUAUACGAAUUAAUAUAUAUAUCUGAAUACUUAUUAGUAUUAAGAUUUAUAAGUCACCGAGAUCUUGAUUCUUCACUUAAGUCAGAUAGAAGAAUACAUCUCAAACUGUGGUCCUAUCAAUACGUAAUGACGUACCAGUAUAGACAAGUAGCCAAGACAAACUACUUCCAUCUAUACUGCAACAUAAACCAAUAACUUGUCCUAGAGUUAUUUCGGCUGUGAUCAUAUUAUAUCUCUUAAGGUUAUUCCAAUUAUAUGGUCUUCUGUGAUCUACAACACACCAUAUAAUCUACUUGUAUAGAGAUAAAGAACAUACAUAUGCAAUCAUGAACACAAUCAGAUAGGAGAUUAGAUAGUGAACUUAGGAAACAUUGUAUACAAGCAUAAAACGUUCUUGCUUUCAGUAUACAAAUCCAACAGUCACCAUAUCGAAUGGUGUAUGGCAAGAGGUGUCAUUUGCCGGUGGAAUUGGAGCACAAGGCCUUCUGGGCAGUGAACAAAGUGAACUAUGAUUGGGACAAGGCAGGGCAAGCAAGGAAGCUAGAGAUCCAAGAGCUCGAAGAAAUCAGGAGGGAGGCAUAUGACAAUGCUGUUCUCUACAAGGAAAGAAUGAAAAAGAGCCAUGAUGCCUUGAUCACAAGCAAGCAAUUCAGCUUUGGGCAAGAGGUUCUCCUAUACCAAACACGGUUCAAAUUUGCACAAGGCAAGCUGAGUACAAAGUGGACCGGCCCAUUCGUGGUGAAGACCCAAUUCCCAAAUGGAGCCGUGGAGAUUGGGAAUCCAAAAUCAGGGAAAGUGUUCAAGGUUAAUGGACAAAGGCUGAAAGCCUAUUAUGGGCAUAAGCCCGACGCUGGGGAAGAACUGGAUCUCGACCCAGCCACAAGCACCUUGGAUUAAUUGGAAGGUAUCACGUCAUGCCCAGGACGAUAAAUAGGGCACUGGCCAGGAGGUAACCUGGUAUUUCCGUUUAGGUUUUUUUUUCUUUUAGUUUGUUUCGUUUUUCGUUUUUUGUUUGCCUAGGAACCCGGUUAUGCCCACAGCUGUGGGCGAGUUUGAGUUUCCCGCCUUCGCGGAAGUUUGAAUGUGUUUUGCAGAUACAGGGGGAGCAGUUAUGGGCAAAGAGCAGUCGAUUGGAGAAGCAUUGAUUCCAGGGCAGAAGGGGGCUCUCGGGCAAAAUGCGGCUGAAACCGCCUGACGCACGUCACAUCAAGUGACAGUUGUCAGCCCCUACACCCCCAAAAACCCUAAAACCUCUACCCACGACGUCACUACCCUAACUAUCCAACUUCCCAUAAUCACCACCCCCUUUCUCGGCCUUUCGAAUACAAAACCACCACCCAGCCACCAUGGUCUCCACCAGACCCAAAAACAAACUCCGAGGCAUACCCCAAGGAACAGAAAUCGAUCUCACCGGAGAAAGCCCCUCACCGUCAAAACCAAAAGCUUCGAAAAAGAACCCACGCCAAAAACCACUUCCGAUGGACACUACACCUACCCCCUCAUCCAAAACCCUACCGCAAACCGAGAGCCCCUCGCCGGUGGACGAACAUGCCAUUGAGCAACUCACGGCGGAGAUAGACGUCCCUACUCUCGGCGCCGGAGACCAGCAUGCAGCUGAAGGAGAAGGCAAGGCGACACCGGAAAAGGCGAAGGAAGGCGAGGAAGAGCCAUCCAAAAAGAAGCGCACCCCCACUGCUCCGAAGAGGAAGAACCGGCGGCCGAGAAAUCGGCCACGCCGGCCGAAGGAUCAUCCAACGAAAGAAACGAACCCUCGGGUUCGGUGAUGCAGAGCGAGCAAGGGAGUCCGGCGAAGAGCAAGAGGAAAUCCGGCGAAAAAGAGGAAGAAAGUGAUCAACCCGACCCCGAUCCGAAUGAUAAAGGGAGAGCCGGCAUCAACAUCGAGGAGCAGGAAGAAGACAGCGAAGAGAGGGAUCGCUGUGCCCAAGAUCCCAGACAUGGACGCAUUGGAACCCUUGGGCAUAGUGGACAAGGUGAAAGAGUACUUCAAGAACAUUGGCUGGAAGGCGUUUCUGAAGUGGCCAGGGCACGCAUACGAGGAGGUGGUCAGGGAAGUGUUUGAAUCGGUACAGGUGGACAUCAACCAAGCCUGCGGACCUUUGGGCAUGAGCUUUUCCAUGAAGGGAGAAGUCAGAGAUAUGUCCGUAAAUGAACUCAACCUCAACUUGGGAAUGGCGGAACUGAAAGACCUGCAAAAGAAGGAAUACAAGGACGCAAAAAGCGGAAUCCCCACCUUUACUGCACAAGAGUGGGAUGUAUUGGGCAGAGAUCGGCGAUGGAGGCCAGUUCAGAACCCAGAAGGUAAAAGGGCAUAGGAUUCGCGACUCAGCCCUGAGGGUUUGCCAUCGCAUUCUCUCGUACUCCUUCUUCGGCAAAAUUGACAGCGGAAAUGCUAUGUCCAAAAAGGAUCUCUACAUCCUUUGGGCAAUGCACAGCGGGGUGAGGCUCAACUUUGGAGCCUUUCUGAUGAGCACAUCGAUUCCAUCAUCAGCAAGCCUAAUCAGAGGCUUUCCUGCAUUCAGUUCACCACCGCUUUUGCCAAGGCGAAUGAGAUUGAGAUCGAGGAGGGGAACACCAAGAUUGAGGCGGAGAAGCUGAACAUCGAAGCCCUGAUCCGCAUGAAGGAUGUCAGAAUGGAUCGGGGUGUGCCCAAUUUAUCAAUCCAGACGAGAGGGAAUUUUCAGCGGCCGAAGCCAAACCCCGCUGUGGGAAAAGGAAAAGAAAAGGUGGAGGAGUCAGAGUCAGAGGAGGAAGAGGAGAGUCAGCUGGACAGAAUCGAGUCCCUGAUUGUGGAGACCCAGAAAGCACUGGCAGCGACCCAGAAGGCCCUUCUGGCCUUCUUCAAGAUCAAGGGUUCAGGUACCCACCUGCACCUGCCCCUUGAAUUACCCUCCCUAGGAUGUUAGUUUUUUAGUUUGUUUUGUUGCGUCUUUGUGUUUUUGUUCUGUUUGUUUUGUUGCGUCUUUGUGUUUUUGUUCUGUUUGUUUUGUUUGCUUUUCCUUGACCCCCUCUACACACCCAUUUCCCAAAGCAAAGUGUGUGUGUGUGGGGGGGCCAGGACUCUGUUGUUGCUUUACCGGGUAAUCCUUGUUCUGCACCCUUUGCCUUAAGGCAAAGUGUGUGAGUGGGAGGGAAGACCCGGUAUCUUUUUAUGUUUUUAAAAGUUUUUGUGUCAAGCAUGCUGUACAAUCGAUGUUACUCAGUUGUGAUGAUUUGAAAGUGCAAUUUUGUGAGUGAGAUUAUGCAAACUUUGUGCCGUAUGUAGUUGAGGACGAUGGAUAGGGAAUUGGGCAUACCUUGUGAGGAUUUGAGCUUUUAAAAUUGUUACUUUAUGCCCAAAACAAUUCUUUCUUUCAUUGUGUGAAUUUUGACAUCUUGAUUUAGGGGUGAUGCUAGAACUUGCCUUGAUUCUUAGUCGAACCCUGUGUACAUAGUCUAGGUGUGUUAAAUGAUUUAGGCAAAUUCUUUCUUUAGCCCACUGAGCCAAACUGACCAACCCUACAUCUAUCACUUGCAACCCCUUUUGAGCUUAAUAAUUCUUUUGAAUUCACUUAUAAAUUUGCCUAGAUUUGAGCCGUCCCGGUCAAAACUGAACUUAAGGGCAAAAGAAAGGGAGAUAGUGUAGUGGAGCCUAUGGGCAGGACUAGUGCAAAAAUUGCAAAAUGGGACGUCUAAUCCCAAAAUAGAAAAAGUCCAUAAAAAGAAAAAGAAAUAAAAAAAGAGAAGGAGAAAAAGAAAAAAAAAAGAGAGGAAGAAUAAAGGGAAGAAUGUGCUUAAGCCCGCAAGAAUAGGCAAGGAUCAAAAGAAUCUGGGAAGUCUGUUGCCCAGAAUGAAGUUCAGAAUGACCUUAGCCUCGUACCAAAAAUUCUCACCUUAUGCCUUAAGCCACAUUACAACCCAUGAAAGACCUAAUGAGAUGCACCUAGGGCUUUGACUAAAGGGGAAGACAAUAGAAGAUAGGCA